RNAcentral lists this ribosomal RNA (889 nucleotides) under uncultured bacterium. RNAcentral describes it as "bacterial SSU rRNA". It matches the Rfam family "Bacterial small subunit ribosomal RNA", at positions 20 to 893 of the family's 1533-position model. The record is from RNAcentral.
UGGCUCAGAGUGAACGCUGGCGGCGUGCUUAACACAUGCAAGUCGAACGGAUUUCUGCAGCGUAUCGCAGGAAUCAGUGGCAGACGGGUGAGUAUCACAUAGGUGAUCUACCCUUGGGAGGGAAAUAACCCCGAGAAAUCGGGGCUAAUGUCCCAUAAGACCACGGCCUUUCCUACGAAAGGCUGAGGCCAAAGCCCCGCAAGGGGCACUUGAGGAUGAGCCUGUGUCCUAUCAGCUAGUUGGUGAGGUAAUGGCCCACCAAGGCUAAGACGGGUAUCCGACCUGAAAGGGUGACCGGACACACUGGAACUGAGACACGGUCCAGACUCCUACGGGAGGCUGCAGUCGAGAAUCUUUAGCAAUGGACGAAAGUCUGACUAUGCGACGCCGCGUGAGGGAUGAAGGUCUUCGGAUUGUAAACCUCUUUUGGCAGGGAAGAAAAUCCCGUUAUCUAAUAGGUAGCGGGACUGACGGUACCUGCAGAAUAAGCCACGGCCAACUCCGUGCCAGCAGCCGCGGUAAUACGGAGGUGGCGAGCGUUACUCGGAAUCAUUGGGUGUAAAGGGCAAGUAGGCGGCUCGGUAAGUGAGGGGUGAAAUCCUGCGGCUCAAUCGCAGAAAUGCCUUUCAUACUGCCAGGCUUGAGGAUGGAAGAGGGAAAUGGAAUUCUCGGUGUAAGGGUGAAAUCUGUAGAGAUCGAGAAGAACACCAGCGGCGAAGGCGAUUUCCUGGUCCAUCCCUGACGCUGAAUUGCGAAAGCUAGGGGAGCAAACAGAAUUAGAUACUCUGGUAGUCCUAGCCGUAAACGAUGAGCACUAGGUGUUGGCCCUUCGGGGUCAGUGCCGCAGCUAACGCAUUAAGUGCUCCACCUGGGGACUACGGCCGCAAGG